CCUGCAUGAAGUCGGAAUUGCUAGUAAUCGCAGAUCAGCAUGCUGCGGUGAAUACGUUCCCGGGCCUUGUACACACCGCCCGUCACACCAUGGGAGUCGGUAACACCCGAAGCCUGUAGUCUAACCGCAAGGAGGACGCAGUCGAAGGUGGGAUUGAUGACUGGGGUGAAGUCGUAACAAGGUAGC
Molecule: ribosomal RNA, 186 nt
Filed under: uncultured bacterium
Lineage: Bacteria
Description: partial 16S ribosomal RNA
Rfam family: Bacterial small subunit ribosomal RNA
Source: RNAcentral